This 287-nucleotide small nuclear RNA is filed under the name Erinaceus europaeus (western European hedgehog). Its description in RNAcentral is "7SK RNA". It matches the Rfam family "7SK RNA". Rfam says of the family: 7SK was discovered as an abundant small nuclear RNA in the mid-70s but a possible function has only recently been suggested. Two independent studies have found that 7SK RNA binds the CDK9/cyclin T complex (known as elongation factor P-TEFb). P-TEFb activates transcription by phosphorylating the C-terminal domain of RNA polymerase II. The record is from Rfam by way of RNAcentral. Lineage: Eukaryota; Metazoa; Chordata; Mammalia; Eulipotyphla; Erinaceidae.
GGAUGUGAGGGCGAUCUGGCUGCAACAUCUGUCACCCAAUUGAUCGCCAGGGUUGAUUCAGCUGAUCUGGCUGGCUAGGCGGGUGUCCCCUUCCUCCCUCACCACUACAUGUGCACUUGGUCUGAAGAGGACGGCCUUCCCCGAAUAGAGAGGUUGAGAGUAUACGAGUAGCUGCGCUCCCCUGCUAGAACCUCCAAAGAAGCUCUCAAGAAACUGCAAUGUUUGCAUUAAUUCUACUUUUUUCUCACACUUUCCUUCACCUAAUAAAUAUAAGGGUUCAAUUGAAA